Molecule: ribosomal RNA, 100 nt
Filed under: Escherichia coli
Lineage: Bacteria; Pseudomonadati; Pseudomonadota; Gammaproteobacteria; Enterobacterales; Enterobacteriaceae
Also listed under: 2 other names
Description: partial 16S ribosomal RNA
Rfam family: Bacterial small subunit ribosomal RNA
Source: RNAcentral
AAAUUGAAGAGUUUGAUCAUGGCUCAGAUUGAACGCUGGCGGCAGGCCUAACACAUGCAAGUCGAACGGUAACAGGAAACAGCUUGCUGUUUCGCUGACG